AGCGGGGGAAGGUAGCUUGCUACUGGACCUAGCGGCGGACGGGUGAGUAAUGCUUAGGAAUCUGCCUAUUAGUGGGGGACAACAUCUCGAAAGGGAUGCUAAUACCGCAUACGUCCUACGGGAGAAAGCAGGGGAUCUUCGGACCUUGCGCUAAUAGAUGAGCCUAAGUCGGAUUAGCUAGUUGGUGGGGUAAAGGCCUACCAAGGCGACGAUCUGUAGCGGGUCUGAG
RNAcentral lists this ribosomal RNA (229 nucleotides) under Acinetobacter baumannii OIFC083. RNAcentral describes it as "partial 16S ribosomal RNA". It matches the Rfam family "Bacterial small subunit ribosomal RNA", at positions 65 to 296 of the family's 1533-position model. Lineage: Bacteria; Pseudomonadati; Pseudomonadota; Gammaproteobacteria; Moraxellales; Moraxellaceae. The record is from RNAcentral.